GACGAACGCUGGCGGCGUGCCUAAUACAUGCAAGUCGAACGCAGUUGCGAACGGGUGAGUAACGCUUAGGUCACUGCCUGGUAGCGGUGUAUAACUCUUGGAAACGAUAGCUAAUACCGCCUCCUACCCGAUUGACCUGCGUUGUAUUAGCUAGUUGGUGGGGUAACGGCCCACCAAGGCAACGGUACCUAGCCGACCUGAGAGGGUGAUCGGCCACACUGGGACGGAGACAAGGACAAGACUCCUACGGGAGGCAGCAGUAGGGAAUCUUCGGCAAUGGACGGAAGGCUGAACGAGCAACGCGGCGGGAGUGAAGAAGGGUUUCGGAUCGUAAAGCUCUGUUGUAAGAGAAGCGGUAUCUUACCAGAAAGGGACGGCUAACUACGUGCCAGCAGCCGCGGUAAUAC
RNAcentral lists this ribosomal RNA (407 nucleotides) under uncultured bacterium. RNAcentral's name for it is "partial 16S ribosomal RNA". It matches the Rfam family "Bacterial small subunit ribosomal RNA", at positions 28 to 526 of the family's 1533-position model. The record is from RNAcentral.